RNAcentral lists this ribosomal RNA (497 nucleotides) under uncultured bacterium. RNAcentral's name for it is "partial 16S ribosomal RNA". It matches the Rfam family "Bacterial small subunit ribosomal RNA", at positions 28 to 507 of the family's 1533-position model. The record is from RNAcentral.
GAUGAACGCUGGCGGCGUGCCUAAUACAUGCAAGUCGAGCGAACGGACGAGAAGCUUGCUUUUCUGAUGUUAGCGGCGGACGGGUGAGUAACACGUGGAUAACCUACCUAUAAGACUGGGAUAACUUCGGGAAACCGGCGCUAAUACCGGAUAAUAUUUUGAACCGCAUGGUUCAAAAGUGAAAGACGGUCUUGCUGUCACUUAUAGAUGGAUCCGCGCUUCAUUAGAUAGUUGGUAAGUUAACGGCUUAUCAAGGCAACGAUGCAUAGACGACGUGAGAGGGUGAUCGGCCACACGGGAGCUGAGACACGCACAAGACGCCUACGAGAGGCAGCAGUAGGCAAUCGUCCGCAAUGGGGGAAAAUAUGACGGAGCAGCGCCGCGUCAGUGAUGACGGUCUUCGGAUCGUAAAACUCUGUUAUGAGGGAAGAACAUAUGUGUAAGGAACUGUGCACAUCUUGACGGUACCUAAUCAGAAAGCCACGGCUAACUACGUG